AGGGUUCGAUUCUGGCUCAGGAUGAACGCUGGCGGCGUGCCUAAUACAUGCAAGUCGAACGAGGUAGCAAUACCGAGUGGCGAACGGGUGAGUAACACGUAGGUAACCUGCCCUUAAGCUUGGGAUACCCAGAGGAAACUUUGGCUAAUACCGGAUAACAACAGAGAAGGCAUCUUCUUUGCUUGAAAGGCCCCUUCAAGGGUCACUUAAGGAUGGACCUGCGGCGCAUUAGCUAGUUGGUGAGAUAACAGCCCACCAAGGCGAGGAUGCGUAGCCGAACUGAGAGGUUGAUCGGCCACAUUGGGACUGAGACACGGCCCAAACUCCUACGGGAGGCAGCAGUGGGGAAUAUUGCACAAUGGGGGAAACCCUGAUGCAGCCGACGCCGCGUGAGCGAAGAAGUAUUUCGGUAUGUAAAGCUCUAUCAGCAGGGAAGAUAAUGACGGUACCUGACUAAGAAGCACCGGCUAAAUACGUGCCAGCCGCCGC
RNAcentral lists this ribosomal RNA (489 nucleotides) under uncultured bacterium. RNAcentral's name for it is "bacterial SSU rRNA". It matches the Rfam family "Bacterial small subunit ribosomal RNA", at positions 8 to 518 of the family's 1533-position model. The record is from RNAcentral.